Mesocricetus auratus (golden hamster) is the source of this 1397-nucleotide RNA transcript. It is a transcript of the gene named polypyrimidine tract-binding protein 1-like, with no coding region annotated. The record is from RefSeq and is a predicted model, not a curated record. The transcript has 5 exons. Lineage: Eukaryota; Metazoa; Chordata; Mammalia; Rodentia; Cricetidae.
UAAGCUGAGAGGUCCAGUACACCAAGAUGCUAGUUGGGUUGGGAGUGCUAUGGACUAGGUCAAGUGCCUGUUGAACAGCUAAAUGUGGUUGACUAAACAAGGAGCAUGGGGCAGUUGUGCAGAGAGAAGCAGACAUGUAACAUGGAUGAGUCUUAUUAACGACAAACUUCUAGAACAGAGGUUCAGGCUACGUCUAGACAUUUCCCGAAGCUCCAGGCACAAUGAGCUCUAUUUGUACUUGAAUUCCUACCCUUGGAUUUCUGCUUCCUGAUCUGGCUUCAUUUGGUGCCUGUUUCUUGCAUCCAAAAGAGGCCCAACCAAAGCAACCCUUUACAUAGAUUUCAUUUAAUUUGUGCUUCGUCCCCUCUGAGGUUGCCUUGAUCGUGGAGCUUUGUCACAGCAACAGAUAAAUGAUGAAGACGGCAAAGGGCACAUGUGCCAUGGAGCCCAUUUGGAGGUCAGAGGACAACCUAUGGGUAUUGGUUCUCUCUUUGCACCAUGCAGGACUUGGAAUGAAACUCAGAUCUGGUAAAGAGGAGAUCCUUCAAGUUAGCUUGAGUGUUCCUUUACCAUGCUGCCAUUAGUCUUUGAGUACUUCCUGCAAAUCCCGUUUCUUCUAGCAUAAAAUGGUAUUUUGUUGGGAUUGUAGCUGUAUGCCACCACACCUGACACUGCUCUUUGGAAGCUCAGCAGCCUUCUCAUACUGAAGGGGAAGAAGCAUUCAUGGAGAUGAACGUGCAGGAAACUGCCAACACCAUGAUCAACUACUACACAUCGGUGGUGCCAGUGCUGUGCUGCCAGACAACUAUGUCCAGCUAGGCCAUGGACACCAAGAUGUGAUGGCUAACCAGAGGCCUAUACUCUGUUUCAUCAUAGAAAAAUCUCUGCUACCCAGCGACCUUGGAUGCUCUGCACCAGAACUUCUUCAAGUUUGGCACUUUCCCCAAGAUCACCAUCUUCACUAAGGAUGGCCAGUCCCAGGUGCUGCUGCACUAUACCCUCCACAUGGGCAUCCAGGAUGUUCAACUGCGUCUGGACAGCCAGAACAUCUACAGCGACUGCUGCAUACCACACAACAACUCUUCCAAGCUCACUGUGCUGGUUGACUUUUGUCAGCUUGACAACAAACCUAGUCACGCCUGGGAAGAGGGAAUCUUAGUUGAGAGACUUCCUCUGUUGGUUGUUGUGGAAGGACACAGCUCAUUGUGGGUGAUACCACUUGUGGGCAUGUGAUCCUGGGUUCUAAGAAAGCAGGCUGAGAAAGCCAUGAAAGCAGGCCAGUAAGCAGUGUUUCUCCAUAGCCUCUGCUUCAGUUUCUGCCUCUAUGCUUCUGCCUUGAGUUCCUGCCUUGACUUCUCUUAGAGGUGUGAGCUGCAAUAAAGCCUUUUCUCCCUGCA